CUGCAACUCGACUCCGUGAAGCUGGAUUCGCUAGUAAUCGCGCAUCAGCCAUGGCGCGGUGAAUACGUUCCCGGGCCUUGUACACACCGCCCGUCAAGCCAUGGGAGCCGGGGGUACCUGAAGUCCGUAACCGCGAGGAUCGGCCUAGGGUAAACUGGUGACUGGGGCUAAGUCGUAACAAGGUAUC
Molecule: ribosomal RNA, 187 nt
Filed under: uncultured bacterium
Lineage: Bacteria
Description: partial 16S ribosomal RNA
Rfam family: Bacterial small subunit ribosomal RNA
Source: RNAcentral